Molecule: long non-coding RNA, 14482 nt
Filed under: Vitis vinifera (wine grape)
Lineage: Eukaryota; Viridiplantae; Streptophyta; Magnoliopsida; Vitales; Vitaceae
Description: long non-coding RNA (VVIN_LNC004426)
Source: RNAcentral
ACAAAAAAACUCUUAUCAUUGCCAAAAAGAAGUUAACCACCAAAUGAAAGCUAUUGGUCAAACAAGAAAUGUGUAGAGCCCUUAAUUUCAACAUCAAGGCCAAUCCUUUUGCCUACUCUCUUGUAAACAAACUCAAUGAGUGCUAUGCAAAACCACAAGGCAUUGGAGUUGUUGGGCACUAAAUUCAAAGUUGACCCACUUGAUUUCUCUAGGCUUUUUUUUAUUUUUCAUUUUUUAUUUUUUUAUUUUUUGUGGGGGAUUGCCAUGGGCCAUUUUAUGGGACAACACCCAUGAAAAUUGAAUUUCAUGUCUACUUUAUUAAUGUAUGGAAAGUGGAAUCCAUCUCAAUUGGAAUGACAUUAUUUGACGUAAUAAAUGUUUGUGAUACACGUGAAGAAAGUGAUGAAUCACAUAAUCAUUCAUAAAUUAGGGGUCAUUAUUUUUGUAUCUAAUUUGACAAAUCACAAUUUUUGGUAUUAUAGUGUAUGUGUUGAUAUCCUGUAAAUGAAUAAACAAGGCAUGGAAAAUAUGAUCGAAAACAAAAAAAAAAAAAGCUAAUGCAUGAUUAUAGUAAUGAAAUUUUCACACCAACCAAACAGAACAUUACAGUUUCUAUCUUGUACAUUUAUAAGCUAAUGCAUUAAAUGACCCCUGCACAAAAGUAUAGCUGUAGUAUCACAUUUAAGCAAAAUAUUUUUUAUAUCAUUGGAAUUGAUUUUUAAGAAACCAAAUAUCUUUUUUUUUUUUGAAAAAAAUUAUAAAUAUUAUUUCGAAUUGAAUGUCUAAAUUUAAUAAAUAGUCAUUUAUUGUUCUAAGAAGGUUAAUGCGAUGUUUCUAUUUUUUGUUGUAAAGAAAUCCUUAAUAAUUAAAACUAUUUUUACAAAGUAGAUCCGUAGAUUUUUCAUAAUCAUAUAGAAAAUUUGUAUCAUAUGAUACUGAGUUUGCAAGAAAUUAAUAUGGAAGAUGAAUCAUUUCCACCUAAGAACUAUGCAAAUCCCAUAAUUUCGUUUCUGUUCAUUGGAUUCAAAGUCAUGGAAAAGGGUUUCAAAUCAAAUUCCUCUCCCCCUCCCCCCAACACCCCCCAAAUCUAGAAAAUAAUUAUAUUCUCUUUCUCCAAACACCAAAAAAGUUUGAAAGUUUUCUAUAAUUUAUUUAUUCUUCCAAGUUCUGACACAAAGCUGGCCACUUUUUUCAGGAAAGACUGGCUACAAUCACGUGACACAGUUCCUCAUCCUUCUCUCUCAUGUCUCCUUUAAUUUGUCUCAAACCACGCGCUAUUUUCUGCCUUCUUUAUUGUUUCUUUCUUUGAUUUUCUCUCAUUUUCCACUCGCUCUUCAAACUUGCUGUUCAAAGUUUACACCUCGGUAACAGGGUGGAGACCCUUUGGGAGUGUUUGCUCCCUCAGAUCUGCCUCCUCAGGGCAAGGUAUGGUUGAUUCCUGUUUGUUCCCUUUAAUGGGUGUUCUGGGUUUGUCUUGUUCUUGUUUAUUUGUUAAUCUUUUGAUGGUUCUGUAUGUGGGUUUUUGGUUUUUUGUUCUGGGUUGGUAAUUUUUUGAGUGUACGUGUCAUUCUAGUUUCGGGUGCUUGUGGGUCUUUUUCUCUUUUGAACUGUUGGUGUAAUUUCUCAGCUGUGUAAUGUUCGUGUUGGGUGUUUCUCUUUUGUUUGUUUCUAGCACUGGGGGGGUUGGGGGCGGGCGUUGUUUUCUUCUGGGUUGGUGAUCUCCCACUCUAUAGUUCAUUUUGGGUUCUAGGUAUUUGCAGAAAAGAGGUUAUUUUUAGAUGCAGUUUCUGGGUGCGUAUGUAGUACUUGUCUGUUCUGUCUGGAAUUUAAUUGAGGAAAAAGGUUAGGCCUUUUAAGUUUGUUUUUGUUUCUUCUAUGUUGGUCAUUUUUCUCUUUAUACACUUCCUUUUGGUUUCUGGGUAUUUUUGGUGCAUUUCUGGGUAUAGUGUAAUCCAUUUGUGGGCUUACUGGUUCUUGCUUUGGUCAUUUUGGUGUAAGAUUAUAGUGUUGCUUCAUUGUCCUUUUCCUUUGCUUUGACCAUUUUCAGGAAAUGGGUUUCAUUUCUAGAAGGAUCUUUCCAGCAUGUGGAAGCAUGUGUGUGUGCUGCCCUGCAUUGAGGUCAAGAUCUAGACAACCGGUCAAGCGAUACAAGAAACUGCUUGCAGAGAUCUUCCCCAAAUCCAUUGUGAGCACUUACAGUUAAUCAAUUAAUAUCUAGUAUUUGAUCAUGUACUGUCAGAUGUGAUGUUUAUUUCUCUAUUAGAGUUUCAGGCAAGAAUGUCUCUGUGAGUAAAACCUAUUUGUUUAUCAAAAAAAUAUAAAUGGUGAGUGACAGAGGGCACACUAGAUCAUACGAUAGAAGAAGCCAGUCUCUCUAACUUGUUAUGCCAUGAUGUGGUCCUUAACAGGGGAAAAAAAUCCCCUCGCAAGGCUAUUGUAGCAUAGAUUCUAAAAAAAAUAUCCCUUGGCAUGGCCAUCUGUAGCAUAGGUUCAACGAUCACUAGCUAUUAAGAUUUUAAACAUUAAAUGCAUUUUAAUCAACUUUUUAUUUAUGCUUGGUUAAAGAGGGAACAAGUUCAAAACUAAUGUUUAGUACCUGUUAAACCUAGCGCAUGGAGCUAUGCUCUUUUUAAAGAAACUUUUAGACUUUAGUUUAUGGAGUAUGAUCCCUUUUGGAAUCUUGCACUGCACAACUUAAUUUGGGCAAAGCUGAAUGAGUGGUGUGAGGUUUCAUGGGUAACCAAUUAUUACCGAGUGCUAUAUGACAGUAAGCGUCUUGUUUCCUUGUGGUGCAGCUUCUUAUUCUGUAUGAUUGUGGCCUUACUGGUUUAAUCAGUGUUUCUCCUGUUCUUAGCAGUACCUAGAAUAAUGAAUUUUAAAUUGCAGGAUGGCCCCCCAAAUGAACGGAAAAUUGUGAAGUUAUGUGAAUAUGCUGCUAAGAAUCCUUUCCGAAUCCCAAAGGUAAUGCCUGUCUUAUGAGCUCCUUCUUAUGUCUGUUUAACAAUUAAAAUUGGGUUUAGAUCAGAACAUAAAUCCUAAAUAUUGGGUUUAAACCUGAAAAAUAGUGUAUGCACGGCUGAGUUUCUGUUGGGACAAUCUCUUUUCCAUAGAUAGCAAAAUAUCUUGAAGAAAGGUGCUACAAAGAACUGCGAUGCGAGCACAUCAAGUUCAUUGCUAUCGUUACGGAGGCUUAUAAUAAGUUGCUUUGCAUGUGCAAGGACCAAAUGUAAGAGCUAGUUUUGUUGUGUAUCAUUUUUUAAAAUUUUCUUUCUUCAUUCUAGUGUUUUAGUCAAUGAAUUUUGGUUAAGCAAUAAAUCCCUUAAUCUACCAAUGAGACUAACCCUGUCCUUCCUGCGACAUGCAAUGGAACUCAAAUUACCAUCCAUGAUCUUGUUUUUGGUAGAAAAUUCUGUGCUUUCACAAAAAAAUUUCCCCUUUAAGUUGAGCAUUUGAUUACCACGAAAUCCUUUGUCUCAAUGUAAAGAACUGCAGGAUCAUAAUUCACAUUUAAUGCAUUAAUGAAUUAUGUAUUUAUUUUCCUGUGUUUUGUAGGGCAUAUUUUGCUGUCAGUCUGUUGAAUGUGGUCAGUGAACUCUUGGAUAAGCCUAAGAAAGAUGCUAUGAGGAUCCUCGGAUGCCAGACCUUAACUAGGUUCAUUUAUUGCCAGGUGAAUUGUGAUGCUCCAAUACAUAAUGCUUGGAUUAUGAUGCAAAGUGCACAAACAGAUGGCUUUUCAGGAAAAGCCUUAGUAGCUUGAUUGCAGGGUUAGACCAUUUAGAGAUGCAAAAUCUCAUUUGGUUUGUACAAUGCUGUCUUUGCUAUAAAGGGCAGCUUAUCCUUCCUGUACCCUUUCUUUUUUAUAAUUCAAUGAAAUGUUUCUUACAAAAGAAUCUUGUUUUUCCCAAACAUGAUAGAUGCUCAAGGGUUUUGAUUUCCAUGCUUAUAGGGGGAUGUUACUUGUAUUCCGUUAAUGUGUUUGUGAGAUCCCAUAUUCGCUAAGAGAGAAGCCUCUGACCCUUUAAUAUGUAGUGGGUUACACUUAGCUGUGUAGAUAUGUUUUAAUGUUGUGCAAGCCUUGGGCCCAAAGCAGAAUAUCUGCAUGGGAGGGAGCGGGUCAUUUCAGUGUUACUUUGCAUAUGUUGCUCUUUAACUGUAAACUUCAUUACUUUCAUGAAGAACUGGCAUAAAUUCUGUUAUUGACUAUUGUUCUGAACUGAUUUAUGAACAGGCAGACAGCACUUAUACACAUAACAUUGAAAAUUUUGUUCGUAAAGUAUGUAUGCUGGCUCGUGAGGCUGGGGACGAACAACAAACAAGUACCUUGAAGGCAUCAAGCCUGCAGUGCCUUUCAGCCAUGGUAGUUUGCUUAACUUCUAUAAAUUUCUCAAUGUAUAUAGUCAAUAUAUUCAAUUUUAUAGAAUAGUUAGUGCUACUGCAUCUUUGACAGUCUUUUUUUAUUAGUUUUGCAUUUUAAUGGAUGUUAAAUUUUUUAUUUCUAGAAAUGCAUCCUGGUUUAUUUGAAAGAUUUCUGCCUUUGCAGGUGUGGUUCAUGGCAGAGUUUUCACUCAUUUUCUCUGAUUUUGAUGAAGUUAGUCCUUUUACCCUUUUAUAAUUACUGUCAGUUUCUUAUUGAUCUGUUAAACCUGUUGGGAAAUUAUGGUGGUUCAAAUAUGGAGUCUAUGUCAUAUUCUAACUCAUGUCGGAUUAGAACAGGGAAACAUUACCAUAAUCAUUUGAAAGAAGUUGAAAUGGAAUCAUAUAUUGAAAUUUUGGGUGGCCUUAUUCUAAACAGUUGUCUGUUUAACUGGCAUCAAGAAAUGUUAUCAAGGGAACUAAAAGAUUUGCCCUAUUUGGCAAGAUAUUUGCACUGUGAAAAAAUUCAGUAAGAAUGAUCCAUUCACCAGCCAAUGAUGCGAACCAUGGGGGAGUUUGUAUACCUUUAAUGUGGUGUUUAUUCUUCUCUAAUCCUUUUAGUGGUGAUAUAAGUUCUAAUCACUGAAGAGUGCUUGAAUUGCAGUCAAACCAGUCAGGCUCUCUUCAAACUCGUUUAGUGUUUUUGAUGUUUAUGUUUCAAUGUCUAUUUAUUAUUGUUGGUUUUUCAUUAACUGUUCUUUGUCCUACUUUUGAUCAUGAACCAUAUGCAAUUAUAUAUUUGAUUUAACUAUGAAUCCAAACUGCAGAUUGUGCAUGUUACUUUAGAUAACUACGAGCGAGAUACACAUAAUGGAGAAGAUGAUGAAAGAGGUGAGCCACAUCAUAACUGGGUGGAUGAAGUAGUUAGAUGUGAAGGGAGAGGUGGUGCCGGUGUUGGUAGUGAAAUUAGCCCUAGCUGCCCGGUGAUCAGGCCACAAACUGAAAAGAAAGAUCCUUCUCUUUUGACAAGGUAGUAGCUAACUCAAAAACCCAAAUAAAAAGAAUGGUGUUUUGUUUAUCGUAUUUCAGACUCUGUAACUUGCCACCAUGAUGAACAUAUUGGUUAAUUCCUCACUGCAGAGAAGAGAUUGAGACACCAAAAGUAUGGGCCCAAAUUUGCAUCCAAAGAAUGGUUGAAUUGGCUAAAGAGAGUACAACAAUGCGUCGGGUAUUGGAUCCAAUGUUUGUCUACUUCGACACUGGGAGGCACUGGGUUCCUCGGCAGGGCUUGGCCUUGGUGGUUCUCUCUGAUAUGUCCUACUUUGUGGAGAGUAUGGGUAAAUAUAAUCUCUCUUUCCACCUCCUCUCAGGCAGUUUAUACCUAAUAUCUUUUACCAGUAAAAAAAUUUACUGAUUUAGUUGUGUCAUUUAUUAUUUGUCCGAUAGCUGAACAUUUUAUUUGUUUAACUAGGAUAUGUCAAAGUAUUUUUCAGCAUAUACAUUGGUAUUUCAAUUUGAGCACUUUUGUUUGACGCAAAAAUGCAAGAGGUAAUGACAUGCCCAUUGAGAAUAAUCCAAUGUUUGAAUGUAGAUUUAUAGAAAAACGCAUGCAUAUCCACAUGGAAGGAAGGAGUGUCAGUAAAAUAGAAUGGAUAAAAUGAAUCUAAAUUUGAUUCAAUGGAUUUAAUAUUUUGUGAUACAUAUAGUUUAUAUGUUUUAAAACUUGUUGUAUGUCUUUUUUUCCCCUGCAUCUAGAUGCAUUUGGGUCAAAUGUCUUCAACCUGACGCUUUAUAGCUUCUAUGAUCAAUUCACAUACUGCAAACAGGUUUUGAGCCACAUCUCUUCCGGUUACAAUUUCCAAAUGUAGUUGCCAAAUUCUAAAAGACUAGAAGGCUAGUAAAUCUAGAUACUUCUGCUAAUGCAGCUUCUGUUUCCAGGGGACCAGAAAAUGAUUUUAGCUGCUGUGAUACGCCAUCUAGACCACAAAAAUGUUGCACACGAUCCCCAAACCAAAUCUUAUGUUAUCCAAGUUGCCACUGCUUUGGUUCAUCAAGUCAGAUCAGGAGCCAUACUGGCAGAAAUUGGCUUUGUCAGUGAUCUGUGCAGGCACUUGAGAAAAAGUCUCCAGGCCACUGUUGAAUCAGCAGGACAGCAAGAAUCGGACUUGAAUAUCUCUCUCCAAAACUCAAUUGAAGAUUGCCUGCUAGAAAUUGCCAGGGGGGUAAGUUAGAGUCUGUUUAGCAUUGUUUUUAAAAAGCACUUCUAGACUAAAAGGUGUUUUUGAAGAAAUCAGACAUUUAACAAAAAUUAAAAAACACUUUUAAAAGGUUGAAAAAUCACUUAUAAUACUUUUUGGAAAAAUGUUUGAUAGGUGAUUCUUCUAAAAACACUUCCAAGAGAGACACUUUCAAACACUAGAAAAUUUUCAUCCUUCAAGUAUUAAAAUACUAAAAACACUUCCUAAAAUCACUGCCAAAUGUACUCUUAGAGCCCAUUUGGUAGUGAUUUUAGGAAGUGUUUCUAGUAUUUUUUAUAUUUGAAAUUUUUUAUCUUUUAGGUAUUAGAAAUGCCAAAAACACUUUCUAGAAUUACUGCCUAACGCACUCUUAGUUACCUUUGUGUUACUUGAAAUUUUUUCUUUUAAUGGGGCUUGUAAUCUAUAUUACUUUUGUGCUGGUUGAUAUUAGAUUGGCGAUGCACGACCACUAUUUGAUAUGAUGGCAAUAACUUUGGAAAGUUUGCCAUGUGGUGGGGUUGUUGCCCGGGCAACUAUUGGAUCUCUGUUGACCCUGGCUUAUAUGAUUUCACUAGCAUCAGUCUCUUCAUGCUCACAGCAGGUAAGAGGAGUUUGGUAUUCUUAUGAUAUCUUUUAAAACAAGUUUUUGGAUUGUUCUGCCAUUCUCUUAUGUUCUGGGUCUCUCUGCAAAUUUGUUGUUGUAAUGUCACUAGAUAUUACUAGCAUGUGCUCCUUUUAUUCCCAGCCCAAUAACCUUUUUGUUUCUCAAAAACAUUUUAAUGCAGGUGUUUCCAGAAUCACUUCUUGUCCAACUUUUGAAAGUAAUGUUGCAUCCAGAUGUUGAGGCACGUCUUGGAGCACACCAAAUAUUUUCUGUUCUUCUCAUACCAAGUUCUAACCAUCCUAGACAAACGGUUGCUUCUUUGCGAUCUGGUUAUCUUUAUGAACAAAGAAGAUGGCAUUCCAAUACUGCAUCUGCAUGUGCUUCAAUUACUGCUCGACUUGAGAAGCUCCGUAAAGAGAAGGAUGGCACUAAAAUAGAACAUGGGAAUAAUGUUCAAGAUGAUCUUAAGGAAAAAGAAAUUGCUGAAGAAGACUGGAAACAUGGGCGGGCCCGCAAGAAUUCCCCUAAUUUUUACAACUUAAGUUCUAUUAUUGACCGGACAGCUGGAUCAACCAGCUUGACUGAGUCCGUAAGCAUUUUUUGUUAUUUCCUUGAGGAGUUGUGUGCAUGUUCAUGUAUUUGUGUAAUUAUGAUCAGUUUCACUACAUUAAACAGUAAGCAUAAUUCAUUGAUUGGCACAGGAACCAUAUAUUCUGAAGGUUAGUGAGGACCAAAUAGCUCAGCUCCUGUCUGCCUUUUGGAUUCAAGCCAAUCUUCCAGAUAAUUUGCCUUCAAAUAUUGAAGCUAUAGCUCAUUCUUUCAGCUUAACGCUUAUUUCUUCACGCUUGAAGGUAACAUAUUUUUUCUUCCUCCCUCCCUCCCUCCAUCUCUCUUUCCUUUUAAAGUUCUCGAUGAUAGAUUUCUACCUUAAAAUGCAAUGUAGGAUCCAGUGGAGCAGUUUGAUUCUCAUAGGGUGUUAACUAUUUUCCUGUAUCACUUGUGUUUAAAAUCCUUGCAGUCUUUUUUUUCUUUAUUAAUUUUUUGUUUUCUAAAAUUUUCUGUGGAUGGAUACAUGUAGAUGUAUAUAUUGCUGUGCUGUUGUCAUUACUCAUGAAAUCUCUCAAACUCUGUAAUGUUGCAGAACCCCAAUGACAACCUUGUGGUCCGCUUUUUCCAGCUUCCCCUAUCUCUGAGGAAUAUAUCCUUGGACCCGAGCAAUGGUAUGGGCUAUUGAAUUUCUUGAACAGCCUUUCAUAAUUUGGAGAAUGUUGAGGAUGCACAAUUCAAACUUUUCUGCUUCUUUGGCAGGGACGCUGUCUCCGGCAUGCCAGAGAUCAAUCCUUGUGCUGUCAACUGGGAUGUUGAUGUUUGUGGCGAAGAUUUAUCAGAUUCCCGACCUUAAUGAUUUGAUGAAGACCUUAGUUCCAUAUGAUGUGAGUUUUACUCUGUGUGCUGCCAACCAAAAUGCCUGAUUUUCUAUUGACAUUCAUUUUUUUUUUUCUGAGGAAUGUAUUCUUAACAUCAGGUUGAUCCUUUUGUGGCCAUUAACGAUGACCUUCAAGUAUGUGUAAAGCCUCAAGCAAAUGUGAGAGAUUAUGGAUCUGUCACUGAUAAUCAAGUUGCAAUGUCAUUGCUUUUGGAGUUACGAAACAAAAUCUAUGAGUCCGACAAGGUCAUAAUGGACAUCUUAAUUCAGAGUCUAUCUAGCAUUACUGAGGUACGCCAUUUCAUUGUGGGUGAGUGGGUGUGUGGGUGGGGUGACACCUACAUAACUACCUAAUACAUGAUAGUUUUGGAUCUAAAUUCAUCUUUUUCUGCUUGUUAAGUUGGAUGCAGAUGAACUGGCUAAGCAACUGUCUGAAACAUUCACUCCUGAUGAUGCAUUAUUGUUUGGUCCACAAUCAAUAUUCGGCCUAGAACACAUUCAAACGGUUUCACUUCCCAAGGAAUCACUUUCUUUUGAUGGGGUAUGCUCUCUUGUGAUCAUUAUCUAUUGUUUUUUGAAAUUGCAUUAAUUUGGAGAUAAUUUCUCAUAAAGCUCAAUUUUUGGGUGUGCUCUUUCACAAACCAGCCACCAGCCACCUUUCCAAUUAGGAUUCAAUCUAUACGAAGGAAGAGUCAUGAUAAUAAUUGAAAUAAGAUUUUAUGAUUAUGAUUGUCACUUUUGUUGCAGGAUUUUCCACCAAAUUCAUUAGUUGAGGAAGACCUGAUUAGCGAAUCAUCUGUUGUAGACCUCUCCCGCUUCAUUCCCAAAAUGCCUGCAUCCCCUUCUCUGUCGCACGUGAUUAGCAUUGGGCAGCUGCUUGAAUCGGUAAUCUCUCUCUUUCUCUCUCUCUCUCUCUCUUAUCAAAAACAUGCACAUUUGUAUAUGAAUUUAGUGAAUCCCCCUAGUCACCUUUUUACUUUUAUUUGAAAGCUUUCUUUACUAUGGACCUGAGGGGAUCUGGAGUUUAAGAUUAUAAGCUCUGAUGGCUGACUUGAUCACAAAGGUUUUCCCAAACAAAGGGCACAACAAAAAUAUGUGUGCUUGUGCAGUGGAUCUUUCCCGACUAUCUACUUACAUGCAAGCAUCCAUUGAUAUGGGGUUUGGAGAAUAAAAACCCCCAUCCAAAAUGACAUUUGAGAUUGAGUGAUGCAAAUUCUUCCUAAUGUUUACAAACGGAUUUGUUCUCAGGCGCUUGAGGUAGCUGGUCAAGUGGCUGGAACAUCUGUCUCGACUUCACCCCUCCCAUACAGCGCCAUGGCUAGCCAGUGUGAAGCUCUUGGCAGUGGCACCAGGAGGAAGCUCUCCAGUUGGUUGACCCAUGAAAAUGGUUACACCAUCGGACCUGACAAACCGUUUCCAACAUUCCCUGCAGACGGGUGCUCAGCAAUCACAAACGUGAGAACUUAAAUCCAUUUCAGGGUCAGGAUUCAGACCCAUAAUGUAUAUCAUGCUCUAACAUAGCUCUGGUUUAUGCAGAUCACAAGUGAUGGCAGGUCUGUUCCUGGUGGCAAGUUAUCGUUGGAUCCAUGGCUGGCAAUGAGGCUGCCUCCUGCGAGCCCAUUCGACAAUUUCCUCCGAGCAGCUGGCUGUUAAAGAAAAGGAGGAGAAGCUAUGCCAUCUCUCCCUGUUGUGUCUAACUCUGUAAAGUGAUGGGUACUGAUUAGAGUUCUUACUUAGCUCAAUGUAUGAUUUUACACUCAGAACUAAGAUGUUUUCAGUAUGUUGUAUCAUUCUAUGCAUUAUUCUCCUCGUACUUCGAUCUAGUCUGAGUGUUUGGUUAUGAAUCUCUCACUCUCUUCUGUUGUGUGGGUUUUUUCUCCUCUUUUCUUCUGACUCAGAAAAGCCUGGAAAAUUUUUCUGGGUUUCUUGAUUGUUCUUUGGCAUGGCACCUAGCAUUUGGGUAUCUGCUUCCUCAUUGUAUUGCAGAUUACAAGUCCUUGCAACUUUUGCAGCAAAACCUAGUUUCAUGGGAGGAUGAGAGUUGAAAAUGUUGAGGGGAAAAGAUUUUACAAAUUCUAUUGAAGAUAGAUUUACAUAAAUUCUCAAAUUCUAGGAAAAUGCCAAGAAAUUUAAUGGGCUUCUUGUCCUAAGGUGGUUAAACUAUGAGCCAUUGAUGUGUGUAUUGUAAGGGUUUGUGAGUGAUUUUAAAGUAGGUUAAAAAUAGUAUUACUGUUUGAAAAAGUUAUUCUUAUAAAAGUUAGACAAUUAGGCUUGUUAAAUAGGAUUUAAUGCGUUGCAUUUAUUAACUAGUCUAAUCAUUUAAAAUUCAAAUAGUGGUUCAAUUAAUAUAAAAAUUUAUGGACAAAAUCGAUAUAAAAUGAGUAUUAUUUCUCUUAUACAUAAAACCAUAUUUUCCUGAUUUUUUUAAUGAUAAAUAAACUCAAAAGCAAAUAAAACUCAAUGUGUUGAAUCCAUUAAUUAGUCUAGUAAUUUCUAAAAAUAGGUUGAAGCUCAAAUAAUGAUCUAAUUAAUACUAUAAAUUUAAAAACAAAAAUGGAUUUGGAUCGAUUCUAUAAAUCUCUUUAGAAUUAUAUUUUUUCAUUUCUUUUACUAGACAAAUAAAAUUCAAAUUAAACAAGACCUAAUGCAUUAGAUUCGUUAACAAUUUAGUAAUUUUUAAAAAUGAUUUGAAACUCAAAUAAUAAACCUAUUAACAUAAAAAAUUUAUGGAUAAAAAUUAGUUUAUAAUAACUAUUUUUUUUUUUACACAUAAUUAUUUAUUUUUUUUUGUAAAUUUUAUCUCUAGAGAAUGGAAUGUGGGCCCAAAUAUGUGUUAGUAGGCCCGAGCCCAACAUCCAUAUUUUUAUAAAAUUUUAGAAAAUUAUUUUUUAUUUUUAAUUUAAAAACAGUUUUUAAAAACAAGCAUAGAAAACAUGGCGAAACUGACCAUAAGCCUCCUAAGAACAAAAUAAGUUUUUUUAGUAAGUAAAAGUGGCACGAAAAUGGAAUAUGGGCCCAAAUAUGCGUUAGUAGGCUUGAGCCCAAACACCCGUAUUUUUAUAAAAUUUUAGUGUCGGACCAAGCAGCACUAAGCCUCUUAAUAGCAAAAUAAGGGCUUUUUUAGUAAGCAAAAGUGGCACGAAAAUGGAACAUGGGCCAAAAUAUGUGUUAUAGCCCUGGGCAAAUCCAGCCCAUAUACGGCCCAAAUGCAAAUGCCAGCCCAAUCGCAACGGAACUCAAACAGGCUACAAAAGCGAACCUAGUGGUUGACGUCUCUCAGUUCCACUCGUUCGCCAUUUCCAGGUUCUCUCUUUUUCUGUCUCUGUAUAUAUUUAUUUUUAAUUUUUAUUUAUUUAUUUACUUGUAGAUCUGAUAGAUCUAGCUUGAUGAUCUGCUAUUUCUAGUUAUCGAGAUAUUUUUCUUGUGGUUGAUAUUAUGAAUAUUGUUGGGUUUUUUUUGUUUUUUUUUUUAAAUUUAUUUUUUAGUAAAAAUUUUGGAUUAUUUCUGAUGAAUCUGUUGUUAUUCCCGUUAAUUCCCUACUUCCAAUUACAAAAAAGAAAAAAGAAAAAAUAAUAAGAGCCGUCCAAAAUAGCCAUCGAAAGUCUGAAUUUAUUUUUUUUCCUGGUCGGGGUUGGUUGCAUAUUGAGGGAUUUACAGUAAAUUCCCUAGUAUAGGCAAGAUGGAAUUGAAUUCGCGGUGGUUCGAAUGAUUUGGUUGAAUUUUGGGGGGAAACCCUCCAAAAUAGUCAUUCAAGUUCAAUUUUUUUCCCUUAUUGGGUUGGGGGCGCGGUUUGUAUAUUGAGGGACUUACAAUAAAUUCUCUAUCAUGCUAUAGCAAGACGGAAUUGAAUUUGUGGGUUUGAAUAAUUUGAUUGAAUUUUGGGAAUUUGAGUUUGAUAAUACCCUUUACAUUUUAUGGAUUCCAUGUAGAAAUUCUUGAAUUCUGCACUAGAAUUGGUGGGCUGGGAAUUUACAAUGCAUUUUACAGAUUCUAUGUUUAUUGUAAACUAUAGCAAGAUGAAAUAUUUGUGGGUUGGAGGAAUUUGCUUGAAUUUUGUGAAUUUAAAUUUGAUGAUACACCUAAUAUUUUAGGGUUAUUUGAUUAAAAGGAAGAUUGAAAAAUGCAAAUUUGUAAGAAUGUCCUCCAUCUUUUAAAAACAUGAAAUAUAGUCUCUUUUGGAAAAAACUACCCUUCAAAUUUUUUUUAAUCCCUAUUUCACACAUCAAUCACUUUUUGGAUGAAGAGUUAAAAGGUAAAAAUGUCAAAACAAGGUUAUAUAUGUAUAUAUAUGCAAUUUUCAAUAUAUUGAAGUUGUUUUUCCAAAUACGGGUGUUAUUUCAUCCUUUAUAAUCAAAUAUUUCUAUAUUUUAUGGAUUCCCCAUGAAAAGAUUCUCGAACACUGCAAUAGAAUGUGUAUUUAGCGGAAAAAAUGUGAUCGGAUUGGUGAGAAAAUGGUUUUUGGAGCAAUACUUAGGUUUGAAUGUGUAGAGGAACCUCCUAUCCCCAAUAAAUGGCAGAAGUUGAUUCAAUAGUUUAGGGUAUCUAAAAUAAAGUUUGGGUAACUGUUUCUGCAUAAUGGGGUGCGAAGAGGUUUCUUGAUGGUGGCGCUUCUGUAAGUGCUGCAGUGUGUAUGGCAUUUUUCUUGUGUAUCAAGAGUGCAGCUUGAGUUUGUUGGCAUUAAUAUUGCCAGAGUCCUGUGAGGAUGAUAAUGUAAUUUCCCUUGCAUUUAUAUAUCAUUUCUGGGAUGAUAUCUAACCUGUAUCGUCUAGAAAUAUGGCUCUAAUGUUUUUAUUUAUAGAACCACUCCUAAAAAUGAUUUAGAAGCCUGUUGGUGCUAAAAUGCUUAUUUGUUAUGACUUGGAUGGACUGAAAAUUAUUUUCAAACAAAGUUUUCAAAAGCAUUUCUGAGGCAUGCUUCAAGGUGUGCACUGAGGUGUUAGAAAAAUUGCAAGACUCCCAAAAGGUGUAUGCCUUUGGGGUUGAAGCUCAUCUCAGACAUGCUUUUGGUGUGCCUUUUGCACACUGUUGCAUGAGGUGUAAGCUGAAGAUUCUCCUUGCUGAGGUGGCUUGGAAAAAAUAAAAGGAAAAAAAAACUAUCUUUAACCCCAAAGAUCCCACAGAAGGUGAAAUCAAAGAGACAUUAAAAAAAACCUUAACCCUUGGUCUUGCUGUCACUGCAAUACCUCACUAUUGCCAGUGUUGCUGUCACCACCACCAUCUCUGGCCAUUCUUAACAAUGUCAAUGGCUUCUCACCUUCGUUCUAGUGUUGGUAGCUUCUCUCCCUCUCCCUCUUGUCUAUUGCCAGUGUUGCUGUCACCACCACCAUCUCUGGCCACUCUCAACAAUGUCGACAGCUUCUCACCUUUGUUCUAGUGUCGGUAACUUCUCGCCCUCUCCGUCUUGUUGUGCUCCAUCAUGCCUGCUAAGUCUUCUCUCAUCCCCUCUCUCCCGUAACUUUCUUUCCCCUCUCCUUUAUUUUAACUUUUAUCUCGUCUCCCACCCUCCUUUUUUAUUUUAUUUUUUCUAUUUUUACUUUUUUCCUUUUAUUUUUAUUGUCUAUUUUCCUUCCUAAAUAGAUUCUCACCCUACCGUUUUUCUUAACAUUUAUUUUUCUUUUUUACAGGACAAGGUUUCUUAGCCUAUUUUUUCCUUUUUAUGUGGCAAAAUUUCCAAAGUAAAUAAAAUUUAUUAAUUUAUCUUUCACUAGAUAUUUGUUUUAGUGUUGGAUAUUUGUGUUGAUCUUAAUAAAAUUUAUUACAUAUCAGUAUUUAAUUUUGAAAUUAUUCAUUAACAAAGGGACCUAAAGAAUUUCAAUUCCAUUAUCCCAAUUUAGUUAUUAUUUUUCCAAAUAGAAAAAAAAA